Molecule: small nuclear RNA, 19 nt
Filed under: Arabidopsis thaliana (thale cress)
Lineage: Eukaryota; Viridiplantae; Streptophyta; Magnoliopsida; Brassicales; Brassicaceae
Description: snRNA_02608
Source: RNAcentral
GCUCCAAGUGGGCCAUUUU